CAAGGAUUCCCCUAGUAACUGCGAGUGAAGCGGGAAAAGCUCAAAUUUAAAAUCUGGCAGUCUUUGGCUGUCCGAGUUGUAAUCUAGAGAAGUAUUAUCCGCGCUGGACCGUGUACAAGUCUCCUGGAAUGGAGCGUCAUAGAGGGUGAGAAUCCCGUCUUUGACACGGACUGCCAGGGCUUUGUGAUGUGCUCUCGAAGAGUCGAGUUGUUUGGGAAUGCAGCUCAAAAUGGGUGGUAAAUUCCAUCUAAAGCUAAAUAUUGGCGAGAGACCGAUAGCGAACAAGUACCGUGAGGGAAAGAUGAAAAGAACUUUGGAAAGAGAGUUAAACAGUACGUGAAAUUGCUGAAAGGGAAACGCUUGAAGUCAGUCGCAUUGGCCAGGGAUCAACCUUGCUUUUUUGCUUGGCUUACUUUCUGGUUGAUGGGUCAGCAUCAAUUUUGACUGGUAGAAAAAGUUCAAGGGAAUGUGGCAUCUUCGGAUGUGUUAUAGCCUUUGUUCACAUAUAUCAGUUGGGAUUGAGGAACUCAGCACGCCGCAAGGCCGGGUUUUUAACCACGUACGUGCUUAGGAUGCUGGCAUAAUGGCUUUAAUCGACCCGUCUUGAAACACGGACCAAGGAGUCUAACAUGCCUGCAAGUGUUUGGGUGAAAAACCCGAGCGCGUAAUGAAAGUGAAAGUUGAGAUCCCUGUCAUGGGGAGCAUUGACGCCCGGAUCUGACCUUUUGUGACGAUUCUGCGGUAGAGCAUGUAUGUUGGGACCCGAAAGAUGGUGAACUAUGCCUGAAUAUGGUGAAGCCAGAGGAAACUCUGGUGGAGGCUCGUAGCGAUUCUGACGUGCAAAUCGAUCGUCAAAUUUGGGUAUAGGGGCGAAAGACUAAUCGAACCAUCUAGUAGCUGGU
Molecule: ribosomal RNA, 902 nt
Filed under: Laccaria alba
Lineage: Eukaryota; Fungi; Basidiomycota; Agaricomycetes; Agaricales; Hydnangiaceae
Description: eukaryotic LSU rRNA
Rfam family: Eukaryotic large subunit ribosomal RNA
Source: RNAcentral